UGGGGAAUUUUGGACAAUGGACGCAAGUCUGAUCCAGCCAUGCCGCGUGCGGGAAGAAGGCCUUCGGGUCGUAAACCGCUUUUGUCAGGGAAGAAACGAGUUUCUCUAAUACAGAGACUUAAUGACGGUACCUGAAGAAUAAGCACCGGCUAACUACGUGCCAGCAGCCGCGGUAAUACGUAGGGUGCAAGCGUUAAUCGGAAUUACUGGGCGUAAAGCGUGCGCAGGCGGUUAUAUAAGACAGAUGUGAAAUCCCCGGGCUCAACCUGGGAACUGCCUUUGUGACUGCAUAGCUAGAGUACGGUAGAGGGGGAUGGAAUUCCGCGUGUAGCAGCGAAAUGCGUAGAUAUGCGGAGGAACACCGAUGGCGAAGGCAAUCCCCUGGACCUGUACUGACGCUCAUGCACGAAAGCGUGGGGAGCAAACA
Molecule: ribosomal RNA, 427 nt
Filed under: uncultured bacterium
Lineage: Bacteria
Description: bacterial SSU rRNA
Rfam family: Bacterial small subunit ribosomal RNA
Source: RNAcentral